AAAGUCGUAACAAGGGCUCCUAGGUGAACCUGCGGAGGGGAUCAAUUACCGAGUAGGAAGGGCGCCCCGCGCGCCGACCUCCCAAACCCUUUGUACAAGACCGUACCUCGUCUGCCUCUGGGUGACCCGCCCUCGGGCCGCGGUCCCCCCGGCGGCGCCCCCCAACCAACCCCUGCAUCAGUUGUCGUCGGAUAUUAUUGAAGCGAAUUCAAUCAAAACUUUCAACAACGGAUCUCUUGGUUCUGGCCAUCGAUGAAGAACGCAGCGAAAUGCGAUAAGUAAUGUGAAUUGCAGAAUUUCAGUGAAUCAUCGAAUCUUGACGCACAUUGCGCCCCCUGGCAUUCCGGUGGGCAUGCCCGUUCGAGCGUCAUUACACCACUCAAGCCUGGCUGGUAUUGGCGUCGGGAUGCACCCGCGCCUCUAUGUUUGUUCGGCUGACGGUUGGAAUUCAGCGUUGUGCAAUUUCAAUUCCGCUUGUGGACCUGACUGGACGCGCCGCGAAAUCUCAUCACAGUUGACCUCGGAUCGGGUAGGGAUACCCGCUGAACUUAA
RNAcentral lists this ribosomal RNA (552 nucleotides) under uncultured fungus. Its description in RNAcentral is "eukaryotic LSU rRNA". The stretch from base 217 to 370 matches the Rfam family "5.8S ribosomal RNA". The record is from RNAcentral. Lineage: Eukaryota; Fungi.